This is a long non-coding RNA of Tupaia belangeri chinensis (Chinese tree shrew), 407 nucleotides long. RefSeq lists it as uncharacterized. NCBI's taxonomy places the organism in Eukaryota, Metazoa, Chordata, Mammalia, Scandentia, Tupaiidae. The record is from RefSeq and is a predicted model, not a curated record. The transcript has 4 exons.
GGAGGUGCUUGGCAGUUGAGUGAGGAGUGUGGCUUGGAUGUAGCUGACAAGUGGUUUGCUCUCGAAGGGUAGGUGCCGUGGCAGCCUCACCAUGCUCUGAAGGAAGAGCUCCAUUUCCUGGGAGGACUACAGGCCCUUGGCCGUCCUGUGAUUGGGCAUCUCGGCUGUACUUGUUGCAAGUGGAUUGCUCUGAAAGUGGGAGGUGCUGUGACGGGCUCACUGUGCACAUGGAAGGAAAGUCUCUGUUUCCCGGGGAGACUGUGUGCUCUGCCAUCUUGUGAAGUUGUGCUUGGGAUGCAACCACCACAGUUGGGUCACCCUAGAUGUCUAGGUGGCUCUUUAUAAAUGAAAGAGAAUUGUCUGCAGAGAGCAUCCUGCUAUGUACCCAGAGGUGCUGAAAGCCCCAG